Molecule: ribosomal RNA, 253 nt
Filed under: uncultured bacterium
Lineage: Bacteria
Description: partial 16S ribosomal RNA
Rfam family: Bacterial small subunit ribosomal RNA
Source: RNAcentral
UACGUAGGGGGCAAGCGUUGUCCGGAUUUAUUGGGCGUAAAGAGCGUGUAGGCGGCCGUACAGGUCAGCUGUGAAAACUCGAGGCUCAACCUCGAGACGUCGGUUGAAACCGUACGGCUAGAGUCCGGAAGAGGAGAGUGGAAUUCCCGGUGUAGCGGUGAAAUGCGCAGAUAUCGGGAAGAACACCCGUGGCGAAGGCGGCUCUCUGGGACGGUACUGACGCUGAUACACGAAAGCGUGGGUAGCAAACAGG